This 407-nucleotide ribosomal RNA is filed under the name uncultured bacterium. Its description in RNAcentral is "partial 16S ribosomal RNA". It matches the Rfam family "Bacterial small subunit ribosomal RNA", at positions 28 to 526 of the family's 1533-position model. The record is from RNAcentral.
GACGAACGCUGGCGGCGUGCCUAAUACAUGCAAGUAGAACGCAGUUGCGAACGGGUGAGUAACUCGUAGGUAACUGCCUGGUAGCGGGGGAUAACUAUUGGUAACGAUAGCUAAUACCGCAUACUACCAGAUGGACCUGCGUUGUAUUAGCUAGUUGGUUGGGUAACGGCUCACCAAGGCAACGAUACAUAGCCGACCUGAGAGGGUGAUCCGCCAAACUGGGACUGAGAAACGGGCCAGAAUCCUACGGGAGGCAGCAGUAGGGAAUCUUCGGCAAUGGGCGGAAGUCUGACCGCGCAACGCCGCGUGAGUGAAGAAGGUUUUCGGGUCGUAAAGCUCUGUUGUGAGAGAAGCGGUAUCUGACCAGAAAGGAACGGCUAACUACGUGCCAGCAGCCGCGGUAAUUC